This 562-nucleotide ribosomal RNA is filed under the name Dioptrophorus sp. RNAcentral describes it as "partial 28S ribosomal RNA". It matches the Rfam family "Eukaryotic large subunit ribosomal RNA", at positions 284 to 645 of the family's 3401-position model. Lineage: Eukaryota; Metazoa; Arthropoda; Insecta; Coleoptera; Curculionidae. The record is from RNAcentral.
AGCCCUAAGUGGGUGGUAAACUCCAUCUAAGGCUAAAUAUGACCACGAGACCGAUAGCGAACAAGUACCGUGAGGGAAAGUUGAAAAGCACUUUGAAGAGAGAGUUCAAGAGUACGUGAAACCGUUUAGGGGUAAACCUGAGAAACCCGAAAGGUCGAAGGGAGAAAUUCAUUCGCGUUUCGCCGUAGGCGUGAGACGGUCGAGUGACGGGGACGCGUUCGCGCGCGCUCCCCGCGCCUUCCGUUUUUCGAUCCGGCGGCGAACGCGUGCACUUUUCUCCUGGUAGGACGUCGCGAUCCGUUGAGUGUCGGUCUACGGCUCGCGGUGGAGCCCGGACGUACGGCUUGCCGUCUCACGUUCGGACCCGCGUGUCCCGGCCGACCCGCUCGACGGUAUACGAAAGGUUAAAGGCCGCUCUCGGAGCGUUCGGCUCGCGGCAAGCGCGUCAGAUGCGUCGGCGAUCGGACCCGGUGCCGAUUCUGACCUCUGGCGACUGUUGGCCGCGAAGUUCUCGAACAGACCUUAGACCGAUCUGCGACGCUAUUGUUUUGGGUACUUUCAG